Molecule: unclassified non-coding RNA, 337 nt
Filed under: soil metagenome
Description: partial contains 5.8S ribosomal RNA, internal transcribed spacer 2, and large subunit ribosomal RNA
Rfam family: 5.8S ribosomal RNA (bases 1-120)
Source: RNAcentral
GAUGAAGAACGUAGCGAAAUGCGAAAAGUAGUGUGAAUUGCAGAAUUCAGUGAAUCAUCGAAUCUUUGAACGCACAUUGCGCCCCUUGGUAUUCCAUGGGGCAUGCCUGUUCGAGCGUCAUUUGUACCUUCAAGCUCUGCUUGGUGUUGGGUGUUUGUCCCGCUUUUUGCGUGGACUCGCCUCAAAGCAAUUGGCAGCCGGCGUACUAGCCUGGGAGCGCAGCACAUUUUGCGCACCUCGACUGGAACGCUUGCGUCCAUUAAGCCUACACUUUUGCUCUUGACCUCGGAUCAGGUAGGGAUACCCGCUGAACUUAAGCAUAUCAAUAAGCGGAGGA